RNAcentral lists this ribosomal RNA (601 nucleotides) under uncultured archaeon. Its description in RNAcentral is "bacterial SSU rRNA". It matches the Rfam family "Archaeal small subunit ribosomal RNA", at positions 319 to 923 of the family's 1478-position model. The record is from RNAcentral.
UCCCUAUGGGGUGCACCAGUCGCGAAAACUCCGCAAUGCACGAAAGUGUGACGGGGCUACCCCGAGUGCCACCCGCUGAGGGUGGCUUUUCUUUGGUAUAAUUAGCCAUUGGAAUAAGGAGAGGGCAAGACUGGUGUCAGCCGCCGCGGUAAUACCAGCUCUCCGAGUGGUAGGGAUGAUUAUUGGGCUUAAAGCGUCCGUAGCCGGCUUAGCAAGUCUCCUGUUAAACUCAGCGACCUAAUCGUUGACCCGCGGGAGAUACUACUAGGCUAGGAGGCGGGAGAGGUCGACGGUAGUCCAGGGGUAGGGGUGAAAUCCUAUAAUCCUUGGAGGACCACCAGUGGCGAAGGCGGUCGACUAGAACGUGCCUGACGGUGAGGGACGAAGGCUGGGGGAGCGAACCGGAUUAGAUACCCGGGUAGUCCCAGCUGUAAACGAUGCGGGCUAGGUGUUGGGGUAGCCACGAGCUGCCCCAGUGCCGCAGAGAAGUUGUUAAGCCCUCCGCCUGGGGAGUACGGCCGCAAGGCUGAAACUUAAAGGAAUUGGCGGGGGAGCACCACAAGGGGUGAAGGCUGCGGUUUAAUUGGAUUCAACGCCGGGA